This 379-nucleotide ribosomal RNA is filed under the name uncultured cyanobacterium. RNAcentral's name for it is "bacterial SSU rRNA". It matches the Rfam family "Bacterial small subunit ribosomal RNA", at positions 376 to 770 of the family's 1533-position model. Lineage: Bacteria; Bacillati; Cyanobacteriota. The record is from RNAcentral.
CGAAAGCCUGACGGAGCAACGCCGCGUGAGGGAUGAAGGCCUCUGGGCUGUAAACCUCUUUUCUCAAGGAAGAAGAUCUGACGGUACUUGAGGAAUAAGCCACGGCUAAUUCCGUGCCAGCAGCCGCGGUAAUACGGGAGUGGCAAGCGUUAUCCGGAAUUAUUGGGCGUAAAGCGUCCGCAGGCGGCCGUACAAGUCUGUCGUUAAAGCGUGGAGCUUAACUCCAUUUAAGCGAUGGAAACUGUAAGGCUAGAGUGUGGUAGGGGCAGAGGGAAUUCCCGGUGUAGCGGUGAAAUGCGUAGAUAUCGGGAAGAACACCAGUGGCGAAGGCGCUCUGCUGGGCCAUAACUGACGCUCAUGGACGAAAGCCAGGGGAGCG